Non-coding RNA from Camelina sativa (false flax), 875 nucleotides. Lineage: Eukaryota; Viridiplantae; Streptophyta; Magnoliopsida; Brassicales; Brassicaceae. The record is from RefSeq and is a predicted model, not a curated record.
UCCUCUCUCUCUAAAGAUUUUACUUUGGUAAACAUCUAGUAUAUUUUAUCCUCUCUCUUUCUCUACCUCUCGAUUUGUAGUGCAACAUCAUUUUGAUAUGUCGUCAAAUCGUCGAAGAAACACAAAUUCUUCUAGACAAACAAGUUCAAAUCAGCCAAUCGAAAAUUCAACUCCUCCAACGGAAACAACAGUACGGUUCAUGAUUUGGUUGGCCUAUCAAUUCAAUCUGUUUUCACCGAUGGUUUUGACAUCUCCAUCCCACCAAUGGUUUUCGCCUUGUGUUAUGUCGAUUCAUUCGAAUCGUAAAGUAUUUGUUUCCGGUGGUCUCAUUCAUUGGUGUCAUCUCCGGUUUGUAACUGAUGAAUCUACUCCUAACUUACGGUUUGGAGAAGUCAUUUGGGUAUUCAAUCCGGGGAUCAAGAGGGAAUUUUUUACGAUUGAAGAAAUUGGCUUAUGUGAUAACUUCCUCGGUCUAGGAAGACGACUCGAUGAUGGUGAUGUUCAUGCUGUCCUUCGAUGUUUUAUGGAAAAAGAAUUCAUGGCCACUAAGCGACAACGAUGGAUAUGGCAUUUCAAAAGACAUGAUCCAAAACCAUUUCAAACAAGAUAUCAGUGUAUUCUUUUAAUCAAAAUAAUGCAGAAAGCAUUUGGUAGUUUCAUCUAUAAGAUUAUAGAUGUUAGCCUUUUACAAGUAUAUGAAGAGGGGAUUUAACAGAUUAUGUUUGUUGCCAAUAAGGCUUCUGUUUGGAAAGCAUGGUCACUUUCACUUCUUCGUCGAAAUUGUGUUCAAUUUUCUUUGUUUGGUUUAAUGGUUGUAUUUGAUGUUUUUGUGUAUCAUGUAUCUUGUAAUACAUUUAUAAUCCAAUAUAAUUGAU